UACGUAGGGUGCAAGCGUUAAUCGGAAUUACUGGGCGUAAAGCGUGCGCAGGCGGUUCGCUAAGACCGAUGUGAAAUCCCCGGGCUUAACCUGGGAACUGCAUUGGUGACUGGCGGGCUAGAGUAUGGCAGAGGGGGGUAGAAUUCCACGUGUAGCAGUGAAAUGCGUAGAGAUGUGGAGGAAUACCGAUGGCGAAGGCAGCCCCCUGGGCCAAUACUGACGCUCGUGCACGAAAGCGUGGGGAGCAAACAGG
This 253-nucleotide ribosomal RNA is filed under the name uncultured bacterium. Its description in RNAcentral is "partial 16S ribosomal RNA". It matches the Rfam family "Bacterial small subunit ribosomal RNA", at positions 524 to 776 of the family's 1533-position model. The record is from RNAcentral.